RNAcentral lists this ribosomal RNA (2800 nucleotides) under Salmonella enterica subsp. enterica serovar Dublin. RNAcentral's name for it is "bacterial LSU rRNA". It matches the Rfam family "Bacterial large subunit ribosomal RNA". The record is from RNAcentral. Lineage: Bacteria; Pseudomonadati; Pseudomonadota; Gammaproteobacteria; Enterobacterales; Enterobacteriaceae.
GGGUUGUGAGGUUAAGCGACUAAGCGUACACGGUGGAUGCCCUGGCAGUCAGAGGCGAUGAAGGGCGUGCUAAUCUGCGAUAAGCGCCGGUAAGGUGAUAUGAACCGUUAUAACCGGCGAUACCCGAAUGGGGAAACCCAGUGUGAUUCGUCACACUAUCAUUAACUGAAUCCAUAGGUUAAUGAGGCGAACCGGGGGAACUGAAACAUCUAAGUACCCCGAGGAAAAGAAAUCAACCGAGAUUCCCCCAGUAGCGGCGAGCGAACGGGGAGGAGCCCAGAGCCUGAAUCAGCAUGUGUGUUAGUGGAAGCGUCUGGAAAGGCGCGCGAUACAGGGUGACAGCCCCGUACACAAAAGCGCAUGUGCUGUGAGCUCGAUGAGUAGGGCGGGACACGUGGUAUCCUGUCUGAAUAUGGGGGGACCAUCCUCCAAGGCUAAAUACUCCUGACUGACCGAUAGUGAACCAGUACCGUGAGGGAAAGGCGAAAAGAACCCCGGCGAGGGGAGUGAAAAAGAACCUGAAACCGUGUACGUACAAGCAGUGGGAGCACAGGUUUACCUGUGUGACUGCGUACCUUUUGUAUAAUGGGUCAGCGACUUAUAUUCUGUAGCAAGGUUAACCGAAUAGGGGAGCCGGAGGGAAACCGAGUCUUAAUUGGGCGUUAAGUUGCAGGGUAUAGACCCGAAACCCGGUGAUCUAGCCAUGGGCAGGUUGAAGGUUGGGUAACACUAACUGGAGGACCGAACCGACUAAUGUUGAAAAAUUAGCGGAUGACCUGUGGCUGGGGGUGAAAGGCCAAUCAAACCGGGAGAUAGCUGGUUCUCCCCGAAAGCUAUUUAGGUAGCGCCUCGUGAAUUCAUCUCCGGGGGUAGAGCACUGUUUCGGCUAGGGGGCCAUCCCGGCUUACCAACCCGAUGCAAACUGCGAAUACCGGAGAAUGUUAUCACGGGAGACACACGGCGGGUGCUAACGUCCGUCGUGAAGAGGGAAACAACCCAGACCGCCAGCUAAGGUCCCAAAGUCAUGGUUAAGUGGGAAACGAUGUGGGAAGGCCCAGACAGCCAGGAUGUUGGCUUAGAAGCAGCCAUCAUUUAAAGAAAGCGUAAUAGCUCACUGGUCGAGUCGGCCUGCGCGGAAGAUGUAACGGGGCUAAACCAUGCACCGAAGCUGCGGCAGCGANNGUUGGGUAGGGGAGCGUUCUGUAAGCCUGUGAAGGUGGCCUGUGAGGGUUGCUGGAGGUAUCAGAAGUGCGAAUGCUGACAUAAGUAACGAUAAAGCGGGUGAAAAGCCCGCUCGCCGGAAGACCAAGGGUUCCUGUCCAACGUUAAUCGGGGCAGGGUGAGUCGACCCCUAAGGCGAGGCCGAAAGGCGUAGUCGAUGGGAAACGGGUUAAUAUUCCCGUACUUGGUGUUACUGCGAAGGGGGGACGGAGAAGGCUAUGUUGGCCGGGCGACGGUUGUCCCGGUUUAAGCGUGUAGGUGUGUGUUCCAGGUAAAUCCGGUUCACUUUAACACUGAGGCGUGAUGACGAGGCACUACGGUGCUGAAGUAACAAAUGCCCUGCUUCCAGGAAAAGCCUCUAAGCAUCAGGUAACAUCAAAUCGUACCCCAAACCGACACAGGUGGUCAGGUAGAGAAUACCAAGGCGCUUGAGAGAACUCGGGUGAAGGAACUAGGCAAAAUGGUGCCGUAACUUCGGGAGAAGGCACGCUGACACGUAGGUGAAGUGAUUUACUCAUGGAGCUGAAGUCAGUCGAAGAUACCAGCUGGCUGCAACUGUUUAUUAAAAACACAGCACUGUGCAAACACGAAAGUGGACGUAUACGGUGUGACGCCUGCCCGGUGCCGGAAGGUUAAUUGAUGGGGUCAGCGCAAGCGAAGCUCCUGAUCGAAGCCCCGGUAAACGGCGGCCGUAACUAUAACGGUCCUAAGGUAGCGAAAUUCCUUGUCGGGUAAGUUCCGACCUGCACGAAUGGCGUAAUGAUGGCCAGGCUGUCUCCACCCGAGACUCAGUGAAAUUGAACUCGCUGUGAAGAUGCAGUGUACCCGCGGCAAGACGGAAAGACCCCGUGAACCUUUACUAUAGCUUGACACUGAACAUUGAGCCUUGAUGUGUAGGAUAGGUGGGAGGCUUUGAAGCGUGGACGCCAGUCUGCGUGGAGCCGACCUUGAAAUACCACCCUUUAAUGUUUGAUGUUCUAACGUGGACCCGUGAUCCGGGUUGCGGACAGUGUCUGGUGGGUAGUUUGACUGGGGCGGUCUCCUCCUAAAGAGUAACGGAGGAGCACGAAGGUUGGCUAAUCCUGGUCGGACAUCAGGAGGUUAGUGCAAUGGCAUAAGCCAGCUUGACUGCGAGCGUGACGGCGCGAGCAGGUGCGAAAGCAGGUCAUAGUGAUCCGGUGGUUCUGAAUGGAAGGGCCAUCGCUCAACGGAUAAAAGGUACUCCGGGGAUAACAGGCUGAUACCGCCCAAGAGUUCAUAUCGACGGCGGUGUUUGGCACCUCGAUGUCGGCUCAUCACAUCCUGGGGCUGAAGUAGGUCCCAAGGGUAUGGCUGUUCGCCAUUUAAAGUGGUACGCGAGCUGGGUUUAGAACGUCGUGAGACAGUUCGGUCCCUAUCUGCCGUGGGCGCUGGAGAACUGAGGGGGGCUGCUCCUAGUACGAGAGGACCGGAGUGGACGCAUCACUGGUGUUCGGGUUGUCAUGCCAAUGGCACUGCCCGGUAGCUAAAUGCGGAAGAGAUAAGUGCUGAAAGCAUCUAAGCACGAAACUUGCCCCGAGAUGAGUUCUCCCUGAGACUU